GCUGUAUGUAGCUCAGUGGUAAAGCACUUGCCUCACAUGUGUGAAGCACUGGGUUUGAUCCUCAGCACAACA
This 72-nucleotide transfer RNA is filed under the name Marmota monax (woodchuck). RNAcentral describes it as "tRNA.Val". Lineage: Eukaryota; Metazoa; Chordata; Mammalia; Rodentia; Sciuridae. The record is from RNAcentral.